This is a long non-coding RNA of Musa acuminata AAA Group (dessert banana), 1239 nucleotides long. RefSeq lists it as uncharacterized. Lineage: Eukaryota; Viridiplantae; Streptophyta; Magnoliopsida; Zingiberales; Musaceae. The transcript has 3 exons. The record is from RefSeq and is a predicted model, not a curated record.
UUAAUUUGGUUCGUUCACCGGUAGAGUCUUUGCGCGAUGCGCUGUAACGUCACGCAUUCGCCGUCGGAUGUAUACUCCCACAAUGGGCCCACCGAUCUUGUGGACGCGAUCGAGUAAGAUAGCUGAAACCAUCGUCUCCCCCACACGCUUUCAAAGCACCGAUUCAAUCCCUUCCGUCUCCAGUGCGAAGCCCACGAGAGUCGUGUAGCGGAAAGAAAGCCCGCAACGACUGCAAGAUCGAUGGUAAUCGCCGCUGGGGAAGACGAGAACGGCCUCGUGGGAGCGACGGCAGGCGAUCUCGACGCCGGUUGAAGCUGGCUGCACAAUUCCACCUUCCCUGCUCGCAGCUGGGGCGCUCAUCGCACCAUUCGCUGCUCCAAAGUCCCCUUGUUCCGCGAUCUCGACGCCGUUGGAACGAUGGUUCCCGCGGCUGAUCAAAACACAGCCCGGCCGGAGAUGGUGAGGGGGAGAUCGGACGGAUCCGAGAAGAGAAAGCGUUACAUGUUCCGGAUCUGACUGUCGUGUGAGGAGAUCGUACAGGACUUUCUGGCGAUCAAGGGGACGAAGCCCCUUUGGAGGCCAAAGAAGGGGCCUAGACUCCUCCAGCGACAGCUCGAUGUAAGGUAUUUUACGCACCAAAACAGAUAUCUUUUGUAAUUUUGGUUUAAUUUCCUGCCAUUGGCUAGUGAUUGAGCCCUUUUCUACCUCUUCAAUAGUUUACGCUUUCGCUACGCUCUUUCUUCGGCUAACUCUUUCUGCAGUCGCUUUCUCCUGGAUUAUGCUUAUUGGAAGGAACUCGGGAGAUAUAUACGCUUCAAAAUCGAUGGAUUAGAUGCAACUUGGUUUGAUGUUCCUAUUUGUUUUCUCGGCGAUAAGUCGAGCUUGCUCAGAAGAGAAAAUCCUCUGCGAGGUUAAUCUAUCAGAUGGUUUGCCUGCAUCAACUCAACUAUUCAGCGAGCCUGCCAACUCGUAAGACCAUUCUUAGUGAAGCUCCAUCAAGUGAAAGUAUGGAAUUUUGUGCAGGUUUCAGGCAAUGCCGGCCCGGGAAUUCUACUCCUGGAACCAUGAAUUCUGCUCCCAUACAUUUUUAUGAUGGACAUGUUAUUUCAAAUGACGAAGAAAGUGUAAGCAUUCUUCUGAAUGAUAGAGUUAGCUAAUCUUUGUGGGCUAAGGUUUAUUAUGACGUAUGUGUUCACUAUUUACCAAUAAACAAGUACUUUUGAGCACUCUUUUUUUUUU